Molecule: long non-coding RNA, 513 nt
Organism: Oncorhynchus keta (chum salmon)
Lineage: Eukaryota; Metazoa; Chordata; Actinopteri; Salmoniformes; Salmonidae
Exons: 4
Source: RefSeq, a predicted model, not a curated record
AUUUCAUUAUAGUCUCUCUCUUGGAGGUGGUGAAUGCAUGUUUCAUUAUAGUCUCUCUCUUGGAGGUGGUGAAUGCAUGUUUCAUUAUAGUCUCUCUCUUGGAGGUGGUGAAUGCAUGUUUCAUUAUAGUCUCUCUCUUGGAGGUGGUGAAUGCAUGUUUCAUUAUAGUCUCUCUCUUGGAGGUGGUGAAUGCAUGUUUCAUUAUAGUCUCUCUCUUGGAGGUGGUGAAUGCAUGUUUCAUUAUAGUCUCUCUCUUGGAGGUGGUGAAUGCAUGUUUCAUUAUAGUCUCUCUCUUGGAGGUGGUGAAUGCAUGUUUCAUUAUAGUCUCUCUCUUGGAGGUGGUGAAUGCAUGUUUCAUUAUAGUCUCUCUCUUGGAGGUGGUGAAUGCACGUUUCAUUAUAGUCUCUCUCUCUUGGAGGUGGUGAAUGCAUGUUUCAUUAUAGUCUCUCUCUUGGAGGUGGUGAAUGCAUGUUUCAGUAUAGUCUCUCUCUUGGAGGUGGUGAAUGCAUGUUU